Molecule: ribosomal RNA, 409 nt
Filed under: bacterium
Lineage: Bacteria
Description: partial 16S ribosomal RNA
Rfam family: Bacterial small subunit ribosomal RNA
Source: RNAcentral
UGGGGAAUAUUGCACAAUGGGCGAAAGCCUGAUGCAGCGACGCCGCGUGAGGGAUGACGGCCUUCGGGUUGUAAACCUCUUUCAGUAGGGACGAAGCGCAAGUGACGGUACCUGCAGAAGAAGCACCGGCUAACUACGUGCCAGCAGCCGCGGUAAUACGUAGGGUGCGAGCGUUGUCCGGAAUUACUGGGCGUAAAGAGCUCGUAGGCGGUUUGUCACGUCGUCUGUGAAAUCCUAGAGCUUAACCCUGGACGUGCAGGCGAUACGGGCUGACUUGAGUACUACAGGGGAGACUGGAAUUUCUGGUGUAGCGGUGGAAUGCACAGAUAUCAGGAAGAACACCGAUGGCGAAGGCAGGUCUCUGGGUAGUAACUGACGCUGAGGAGCGAAAGCAUGGGUAGCGAACAGG